This is a long non-coding RNA of Panthera uncia (snow leopard), 2465 nucleotides long. RefSeq lists it as uncharacterized. The transcript is spliced from 4 exons. The record is from RefSeq and is a predicted model, not a curated record. NCBI's taxonomy places the organism in Eukaryota, Metazoa, Chordata, Mammalia, Carnivora, Felidae.
UUAAUAAAUGAAUCACGAAAAUAUAUAGAAUACUGGAUAAGUGGCCGAGUGACAGCAAGCAGGGGGCUUUCAACCAAGUAUGGAUAGAGUUCCCAGAAGACUUCAUCGGCAGGAAAGAAGCUCUAAUAAUGUGAAAUAGAAAUACCAGAAGACUCCUAUCAGGGAUAUUGUUGCCAUGGUGAUAUUGUGACAUCAAGCUUUGCGCAGAGGGUUGCUGCCUCUUACCUGUAGACUUUGGCUUGCACUGUGUAGGAAGAAUUUCUGGACCACUUGGAGACAUUUAUAUAUAAAUUUAACAUAUAUAAUAUGUCAAAGCCAAGAGGGACCAAUGGAUGAGAAGAGGAAACCUGAUCUCAAUGUUAUACGCCUAUGGAAAAAGAAGAUUCCAUAAAGGAGAAUGAAAAUAAAGGCAAAAUAUAUAGUCUUAGAGUCGAGAGAGUAAAUGAAAAUUUAUAGGAAUUAGUUAAGACACUGCACAUUUAAAUACAACAAAGAAGCCCAACAAAGAAGAGCUGAAAAGUUUCCCUUGGGAUCAGCAUUUAGGAAGUUAGUAAUUAGAGCAAUUCCCUGAGAUCUGUUGAGAGGCUGUAUUUCAGUGAAAUGAGAAAUGGGUGGAUAUCAAAAAAUGGGAGUUGAAAGCGGAGAUCACUCAUUGAAGAAUCAUGGAUAAAAAGAGAAGGAGAGAAAUCUGAUGGCCUCAGGAGUAGUACAUAGGAUCGGGGAGAAUUUAAAAUCUUUUCAAAAUGGAAGACCCUGAGUAUGUUGAUAGGCUCAGAAGAAGCAGCCUGUUUCAAGCUGUGAUAUAUAAAAGGGGGAAUUAAAAAGGUGGCUCCAGCUGAGGGAAAGAUCAAUGAACACAAGAGCUUUGAACAGGAAAGACAUCACCUCUGAAAGCAGAAGAAAGAAGGCAGAAGUGUGUGUCAGUGUGCACUAGUGUGUUGACUGGGAAUCAGAAAGAUGAGUGAGGCCACUACUGAUAAUUUAAAUUUUCUUUGUGAAGUAGAAGGCAAGGUUAUAUGUGAGACAGGGAAAUUUGGCCAUUGUAAAAGAAAUAAACAACUGGCCUUUUGUUAAAGGUGGAAAGAUUGAUUUUAUUCAGGCUAUUGCAGUAGGAUAGAGACUUCAGUGUAAACUGAGCUCAUAUCUGCUAAAACAGAUUUUUAAAUGUUGGAGUAUACUAAAGGAAAAGUACUGAAAGGUAUUGGUUGGGGUUGGGGAGGUUUAUCUAUGUGACUAGGCCAGCUGCGUUUGCUAAUUGGUACUUAAUCAAAGUUAAGCUCCUACCCUCACACAGGUAUUGGGAGACACAGAUGGACGCUAUCUUGUUGAUUACAUUUCAAAAGAAUGGCUCCUAGGUCUUCAAGAAAGACGUUCCUGGGUUAUAGAAGAUACAUCUCAAAGGUUUAGAGGAAAGGUUUACAGCUGCAAGUUUUCUAAAGCAAAUGUUCCAGAAAAAGGAGAUCGGGAUCCUAUAGUCAGAUUUUGGCUAGAACAAACAGCAAUUUCUUUUGGGAGCAUUGGGCUUUCUUGGGCAUUUUAAGGAGACUGGGAUCAUCAUUGUAGGGACAUGGGCUUGAACUGAUAGAAGUCCUGCUAGAGUUUUGCCAAUAAGGAAUUCCGAGAAGAAUGUUUGUCACCAUGUUAGUGUUUGACUUUUUCAAGAUCAUACUGAUUUGGAUCAUUCAGGUGUGAAACCACAAGAUGAGGCAGUGAGCCUGAUAUAUAAAGUUUAAGCAAUUUCAGAGAAAGCUCUUUAAACUGAUCAUAUAAAAACUGAUGCCAGAAUGUUCAGUUUAGAGCAAUAUGGAAAACUCAAACAGAAAAAUAGGUUAAAGAGUACACAACUACAAAACCAACGUGAAAGAACGGGCUAUGGAGCAGAGCUAGAAGAUAGGCACAGUGACUGUGUAUGUGAGCUAGCUCUAGAAAAUCUAAUCUCAUAGGGUAGGGCCCAGCUAUAGCGCUGAGGGUUGAGAAUAGCACUGAUGGAAAGAUCUAAGCAGAGCCGUUGUCUUAGCCUACAGAAACUUAUUUGAGUAUAGUUUUGGACCAUGAUGUUAGGACCAAAGAAAGUUCCCAAGGAACUUGGCAUACCUGGACCCAAAGUAAAAAAAGAACAACUAGGUGAAGAGACCUCAUGUGAAAAAUUUUAACUUCUUGACUUUCCAGUGACCAAGUUCAAGAUUAAUUCUAUAAUUUGGAACAGAAUUGGAUUUGCAGGAUUUUAACUUUUAGCAGUUAUGAAUUUGUGUCAAGAACUAUGGAAAAUGUCAACUGACCUUGCCUAGCAAAAAGAGAAAGAUCCUGGAGCAAGAACUAGGCAAGAUAUCUCAUUGGUUCAUAUUCUACAUUUUCCCCUGGAGGAAGGUAUAGAGAAAUUGACUUAAAGGCAGGGACCAUUCAAUGGUACAAAUGGCAAAGAUGAAAUAAUAUGGUUAAACAUGAACCAUGUGGUGAAGUAGAUA